Molecule: unclassified non-coding RNA, 917 nt
Filed under: Hevea brasiliensis (rubber tree)
Lineage: Eukaryota; Viridiplantae; Streptophyta; Magnoliopsida; Malpighiales; Euphorbiaceae
Source: RNAcentral
CCAAUAGCUAGAAAACGACGCGGAUUUCGCCUAAAUUUCAAAACCCUAACAAAUUUUAGGGUUUUCUGAUUCUCACUUCAAUAUCUCCAAUGGAAACCGAAGAAGAAGACAAUUCAAGGCACUCUACAAUAACAUCAAUGACGGCAACCGCUACAGAGCCUCAAACUGUAAACAACCUCUUAUGUACCCAACAUCAAUGUACGCCCCACCCUGUGACCGAGUUGCCCGACCAACAAUUCGGUGGUGGCGGUGGGGAUGGCGAGUCACGACCACCACCUGAAACAGAAACUAAAGUUCCCGACGACGGCGAAUGUCAGGAUGUGGUUGCGGGGGAGAAUACGUCCGCGGUAGAGUUUAGCGAGUUGGAUGUUGUUGGCGGUGGUGGCGAGACUCAAUCUCCUCCUUCACGAUCGUUGCAACGACCGGUGGCCGAGGGAGGCGAAGGAGAGAGUGCUAAGGCCGAAGAGGAGAGUGCUGAGGUGAAAGAGGAGGGCCAGCGUGUCGAGACACCAGAAAUUGUGCCAGAGAUUCCUGGAAAAGAAGAGGAAGAUAAUGUUUUGAUUCCUGGAGAGGAACGACGUGGACAUUUGAACGAUAGUGAUUCAUCUAACGAAGAUAAGGAUAAUGGAGUGGACGUACCAGGAGUGAAUAAGGAAACAGAGACUAAAAUGGAGGUUGUUGUUAACUUAGUGGAGGACUCUGGGAAGGCAGUGGAAUUAGAUUUCACUGGUACGAUGAAGGGACUGGCAAUAGUGUAUAAGGAUAUGGAGAAGAGGGACGUGGUAGAGGAAAAAAAGGAGGAGGCUGCUGAUACCGCAGAAGAGGCAGAGAUGGCUCAUAUCUCUGAGGAAACCAAGGAGGAUGAGGAUAAGGAUAAUUAUGGGGUCGUGGAUGCUGGAGUUGACGUGCCAGGAGUG